RNAcentral lists this long non-coding RNA (276 nucleotides) under Phoenix dactylifera (date palm). Its description in RNAcentral is "long non-coding RNA (PDAC_LNC010209)". Lineage: Eukaryota; Viridiplantae; Streptophyta; Magnoliopsida; Arecales; Arecaceae. The record is from RNAcentral.
AGUCGACCAGCCAACCAUCGGAGUCGACUCGCAUUCCACAGGAGUCGACUCAAAUCUUAGGGUCGAAAAUCGCUCUCUGACUUUUGCCUUGUUUUCCUUAGGAAUUGACUUGCCAGCUAUUGGAGUCGACUCGAGUUCUUCAGGAGUCGACUCGUCUCUCAGGGUCCAAAAUAGCUUUUCUGUCUUCUGUCUGUUACUCCCUGGAGUCGACUCGUUCUAUUCUGGAGUUGACUCGACAAGCAUCGGAGUCGACUCGAAUUCUUCAGGAGUCGACUC